RNAcentral lists this ribosomal RNA (572 nucleotides) under Aspergillus flavus. RNAcentral describes it as "eukaryotic LSU rRNA". The stretch from base 213 to 366 matches the Rfam family "5.8S ribosomal RNA". The record is from RNAcentral. Lineage: Eukaryota; Fungi; Ascomycota; Eurotiomycetes; Eurotiales; Aspergillaceae.
UCCGUAGGUGAACCUGCGGAAGGAUCAUUACCGAGUGUAGGGUUCCUAGCGAGCCCAACCUCCCACCCGUGUUUACUGUACCUUAGUUGCUUCGGCGGGCCCGCCAUUCAUGGCCGCCGGGGGCUCUCAGCCCCGGGCCCGCGCCCGCCGGAGACACCACGAACUCUGUCUGAUCUAGUGAAGUCUGAGUUGAUUGUAUCGCAAUCAGUUAAAACUUUCAACAAUGGAUCUCUUGGUUCCGGCAUCGAUGAAGAACGCAGCGAAAUGCGAUAACUAGUGUGAAUUGCAGAAUUCCGUGAAUCAUCGAGUCUUUGAACGCACAUUGCGCCCCCUGGUAUUCCGGGGGGCAUGCCUGUCCGAGCGUCAUUGCUGCCCAUCAAGCACGGCUUGUGUGUUGGGUCGUCGUCCCCUCUCCGGGGGGGACGGGCCCCAAAGGCAGCGGCGGCACCGCGUCCGAUCCUCGAGCGUAUGGGGCUUUGUCACCCGCUCUGUAGGCCCGGCCGGCGCUUGCCGAACGCAAAUCAAUCUUUUUCCAGGUUGACCUCGGAUCAGGUAGGGAUACCCGCUGAACU